CCUACGGGGGGCAGCAGUGGGGAAUAUUGCACAAUGGGGGAAACCCUGAUGCAGCGACGCCGCGUGAGUGAAGAAGUAUCUCGGUACGUAAAGCUCUAUCAGCAGGGAAGAUAAUGACGGUACCUGACCAAGAAGCCCCGGCUAACUACGUGCCAGCAGCCGCGGUAAUACGUAGGGGGCAAGCGUUAUCCGGAUUUACUGGGUGUAAAGGGAGCGUAGACGGCAGCACAAGUCUGGAGUGAAAUCCCGGGGCUUAACCCCGGAACUGCUUUGGAAACUGUGCGGCUGGAGUGAGCGAGAAGUAUGCGGAAUGCGUGGUGUAGCGGUGAAAUGCAUAGAUAUCACGCAGAACUCCGAUUGCGAAGGCAGCAUACCGGCGCUCAACUGACGCUGAGGCACGAAAGCGUGGGGAUCGAACAGGAUUAGAUACCCCUGUAGUC
Molecule: ribosomal RNA, 440 nt
Filed under: uncultured bacterium
Lineage: Bacteria
Description: partial 16S ribosomal RNA
Rfam family: Bacterial small subunit ribosomal RNA
Source: RNAcentral